CCCCAUCGAUCGGGAGAGACUGGACGGCCAAGCCGCACCAGCGCCGAAGGAGCAACCGCCCCGGAAACUCUCAGGCAAAAGGACCGAUUGAUCAUU
Molecule: non-coding RNA, 96 nt
Filed under: Hydrogenophaga crassostreae
Lineage: Bacteria; Pseudomonadati; Pseudomonadota; Betaproteobacteria; Burkholderiales; Comamonadaceae
Also listed under: 1 other name
Description: Glycine riboswitch aptamer
Rfam family: Glycine riboswitch aptamer
About the family: This family represents the bacterial glycine riboswitch. Glycine riboswitches usually consist of two metabolite-binding aptamers domains with similar structures in tandem.
Source: Rfam by way of RNAcentral